UCCUCUGUAGUUCAGUCGGUAGAACGGCGGACUGUUAAUCCGUAUGUCACUGGUUCGAGUCCAGUCAGAGGNC
RNAcentral lists this transfer RNA (73 nucleotides) under Salmonella enterica subsp. enterica serovar Weltevreden. RNAcentral describes it as "tRNA-Asn". It matches the Rfam family "tRNA". Rfam says of the family: Transfer RNA (tRNA) molecules are approximately 80 nucleotides in length. Their secondary structure includes four short double-helical elements and three loops (D, anti-codon, and T loops). Further hydrogen bonds mediate the characteristic L-shaped molecular structure. tRNAs have two regions of fundamental functional importance: the anti-codon, which is responsible for specific mRNA codon recognition, and the 3' end, to which the tRNAs corresponding amino acid is attached (by aminoacyl-tRNA synthetases). tRNAs cope with the degeneracy of the genetic code in two manners: having more than one tRNA (with a specific anti-codon) for a particular amino acid; and 'wobble' base-pairing, i.e. permitting non-standard base-pairing at the 3rd anti-codon position. Lineage: Bacteria; Pseudomonadati; Pseudomonadota; Gammaproteobacteria; Enterobacterales; Enterobacteriaceae. The record is from RNAcentral.